Cinclus cinclus is the source of this 3253-nucleotide long non-coding RNA. RefSeq lists it as uncharacterized. NCBI's taxonomy places the organism in Eukaryota, Metazoa, Chordata, Aves, Passeriformes, Cinclidae. The transcript is spliced from 3 exons. The record is from RefSeq and is a predicted model, not a curated record.
UUUUAUGUUUUCAUUAAGUUAGAUGAAGGGUUUCUUUAGUUUUGGUUGUGCUUUUUUUGGGAGGGGGCAUUCAUUUAGGACGAUUUACUGAAGGUAUGGAUCUCGUUGUUCCCCCCCUUGUCCGCAGUACUGCAGCCAUGCCCCGAGCCCUGCCCUGCUGCUCGCUGCUGCUGGGUGACCAGCCAGGGGUUGGGGGGAGUUCCUGUCAGGUCUGCUGUUUCUUGUUGAUUUUUCAGUUUUCAGAGGAUGAGGGUUUUGAGUUCUGAUGUCUGCUGUCGCGUUGCUCAGCACUGCCUUGGUGAUGCAGUCCUGCGAGCUCCCAGUGGCUGUCCAGGAAAGCCUCUGCCGGUAUUUUCAGAUAUCAGUGCCGAGGACGUACGUCGGCUGUGUGCUGAACAGUUUCACACGGCAAACGCAGAAGAAAGCCUGGUUCUUUUUGCUGAUGACACCUGUAUAGGUGUUCCUUUCUUGUCCUGUAUGUGCCUCCUCCUGUCCCUCUUCACUACUUCACUGCCUUUUGUCCUUCUUUUAAUUAAUGGACAAAUCCUCUCUAAUAUUUAUUUAGCAAAUAUUGCUCAAUCCCUCUUCCUGUUCCACCCUGCUUCUUGUCUCCCAGCCUGCUGGCAUCUUUCUCUUUCCUUCUUUCUUCCUUCCUUCCUUCCUCUCCUUUUCCCUUUGUCCAGCACUGUGACUGUAUUUUUGUCCCUUUCAGUGUCCCUUUGCCUGUACCUGUGUGCACCUGCUGCCCAGUGCUCCUCCCUCACUGUACCCCCUUUCGGUAAGCCCCUGCUCUCCCCGAGUUCCCGGUGGUGCUGACUGCGCCGUCCCUGCCCGACCCCCAGCCGCAUCAUCGCCCAGCCCGCCUCACGGCACCGCCCUGCUGUGCUGGCCCACAUCACCGCAUAAUCACGCUGGAUCGCUGCACUUGCCCACGUUGCCCCACGCUGUGGCUAUGGCCCGCCUCCACGCCUUGGCGCAAUGCAACAUCGCGGGGGACUGCCGCUCUGCACAAUUCCACUAUUCCGCUCCCCCGCGUGUUCUCCCCCGUGUUCCUGCGCCGCACCUCCGAUCCUGAUGGGGGCCGCCAUAUUUGACAGGAAGCACAUGACAAAAAAGGGCCACCAUAUUUUCCGGAUGCAAGUGGUGGCAUGGGUGCCGCCAUAUUUGACCAGAACCACGUGGCGGCACAGGGAGCCGCCAUAUUUGCCCGGAAACAUGGCCCAGCACAGGGGCCGCCAUAUUAGACUGGAACACAGUGGGCACAUGAGAGCCAGCAGGCCGUAAAACAGCGCUGGUUCAGCCGACCACAUUGCUGCGAUCCCCCAUGCUGCCCCAUGUCCCUGCGCUGCCUCGCAUCCCCGCACUCACUCUCGACGCCACGUCCCACCGUUGGGUGCCCUCCCCGCCUCAUUGCACCGCCCCUCCGCGCCGGACCCUCUCUUCACUACAUCACACCAUCCCGCUGCCCAGGCCUGCCACACCGUGGUAGAACGGAGGCCUGCCCACCCCCAUCGCCUCGGUACUGCACGUCGCGGUGGUCUGGGAACACUGGAUCUGACCACCGAACCUCAAGGGAGCCACCAUAUUAGCAGUCUGUUGACCCCACAAAGAUGUUGCUUAGAUUCUGAAAACCCCUGCGCUGGUACCAAGCUGAAAGUUCUCUGGUGCUCCACAGCAGCCCCAUUACCCACAGGUGGGCCAAGAGCAGCUCCAGAAGCUCCAAGGGAUUCUGACAGAUGAAUUUCUGUGCCUCAGGAAAGCUGAGCCAGUUCUGAAGAUUCAUGAAUGAACUCAGUUUGUCCAGGAUGGAGUGUGCAAGGAUAAUCCCUUAGCUCAUGUGUGGACCUGGUGUGCACCAGGCCAGACACAGGACGGUCAUCCAGUGCAGUGCAGCCUCAGCUGUCCCUUUGAGCCCCAAGCUGCCAAGGGUCAGGGCUGGGAUGAGCCUUCACCUAAAACUGACUCCAAGGCUGACUGGGAAUCAAUCCAGAACAGGGCUCACACACAGAGCAAAGUCUCAAGGCCAAAGGCAAACCUCCUUCAGGUUGGAUUUGUUUUAACACUGAAUUGAAGCCAAUUUGCUCAUCCUAUAACAUCACUGCUACCAUGAAACUUUACUGAGCUACUAAGCAACUACAUUCCUAUCCUGAAAUGCAUUGCCAAAUAUUGUCGAGGACUUGCUCUGCCUCUGCCCGCUGCUCCUGGGGCUGCUCUUGGCCACGCAGCCUCAGUGGGAGCCAGCACUGGCUGCAGCCCCAGUGGGCUCCCCAGGACGAGGCCCAGCAAUUAAAAGGCCAAUUAAAGCACUGGGCAGCAGCAGAACCCUCAGCAGAGUUAUUUGGACAAACAUGGACUUGCCACAACUCCACAGCAGCAUGACUAUGAGUCUGGCUUCCAAUGCUAUGAGCGGAGUUUUAAGAACACUGCGGAGAAAAGUCAGCAAAUUACCAUCUCAUCUCACACAGCUUCCGAAUCCCAAAACAGCAGCAUAGCAGCACAAGUGGCACAGUGAACACUGUCACUCCUGUGCCUGUCAUGCAGGACCUGCGCACAUCCUGGGGGCAGACAAUUCUUGGAAGGCGCACUGGAUCCUGAGCAUAUAUUCCUGUUUCAGUAAUAAAAUCUGUGGGAGCAAUGGGGAGCGUGGGCCCGUGCUGUGCUCCACUGCUGGGCUGGCAGCUCGGUGGAUACGGCCAGGUUCUCUAUGUGAUAAUUGAUAAAAGAUUCAUGUUAAUAGUAAAAGUUUGGGGUUUGUAUAAACCAGAAUAUUAAGGUCUGAAGUGAAGUAUGGACACUAGAUAGAGGAAAAUAUAUGAUUAAAUCAUUCUGGUUUAAAUCCCCCUGUUAUUAAUAUUUGGUUUUCUAAAUAAGUUGUAUCUACUACCAGUUUACAAAAUCAGACUUCCUGAUAGUCCUAUAGAUUUUGCAAAAUCAGACUUCCUGCUUUUGUUUGAUCAAUGCUGCCUACCCACAAAGAGCAGAGUUCCUGAUUUCUGCCUGUUUUUAUCUACUAAGACCAGAUGGUUUUCUAUGAGACGGACUAUCGCCCAAAGACUUUACGAAUGUUUAUUCAACCACCACUGCUUACCCGGCAAGUUAUGACAGCAAAAAAAAAACCCCAAACAUUAUUGAUUACAACGAGAGACCACAGUAUAAGAAGAGGCUGCAAAGAAAGGUUCGAUGGAGCAUGGAGUGGGCAGCGACCCCUCACGAUCCCCAGCGCUGCUGGCUCCGUCUAUAUCAAAUAAAGCAA